AGCUUGGUAACGCGGUGCGGCGGGAUGGACAGCUCGAAACAGGCCUGGAUCAGGGCGGAGGAAAUCGAAUCGUGGCCGCAACCGGCGCAGAGCGUCGAGAUCGAGCCUUCAUAGUCGCGAUGGGUGAAGCCCAAUUUAUUGGUCGGCAGCGCCGGAUGGCGAAGCUUCGGCUUGGUGAUCCAGGUCAUUCCGCCGCCUCUUCGGUCUUGGCGAUCGAGCGCUCGGAUAUC
RNAcentral lists this unclassified non-coding RNA (230 nucleotides) under fungal sp. Its description in RNAcentral is "partial internal transcribed spacer region". The record is from RNAcentral. Lineage: Eukaryota; Fungi.